AUUGAACGCUGGCGGCAUGCCUUACACAUGCAAGUCGAACGGCAGCACGGGAGCAAUCCUGGUGGCGAGUGGCGAACGGGUGAGUAAUAUAUCGGAACGUGCCCAGUCGUGGGGAUAACGUAGCGAAAGCUACGCUAAUACCGCAUACGAUCUACGGAUGAAAGCGGGGGAUCGCAAGACCUCGCGCGAUUGGAGCGGCCGAUAUCAGAUUAGGUAGUUGGUGAGGUAAAGGCUCACCAAGCCGACGAUCUGUAGCUGGUCUGAGAGGACGACCAGCCACACUGGGACUGAGACACGGCCCAGACUCCUACGGGAGGCAGCAGUGGGGAAUUUUGGACAAUGGGCGCAAGCCUGAUCCAGCAAUGCCGCGUGCAGGAUGAAGGCCUUCGGUUGGU
RNAcentral lists this ribosomal RNA (395 nucleotides) under uncultured bacterium. Its description in RNAcentral is "bacterial SSU rRNA". It matches the Rfam family "Bacterial small subunit ribosomal RNA", at positions 30 to 426 of the family's 1533-position model. The record is from RNAcentral.